Molecule: long non-coding RNA, 387 nt
Organism: Gossypium arboreum
Lineage: Eukaryota; Viridiplantae; Streptophyta; Magnoliopsida; Malvales; Malvaceae
Exons: 3
Source: RefSeq, a predicted model, not a curated record
CUAAAAUUCUCUUCAUUUCUCUUCAUAUUCAUCAGCUGAAAAACAGCCAUGGAGGAGGGUUCAAGCUGGUUUUCAUACUCUAGCUUCAUAUCAAGAAUCCAAAGAAGAACGAGGAAAAGAAAAAGUUGCGGAAUAGUCCCUAAAUUUCAAUAUCUUCUACAAAUUAGCCGGAUUGACUUGAAGUGAAGUGGGUAGAUCGGAUCAACACAACAAAGCACACUAUCCAGAUCAAUUCCGGUAGCUUUUGUUUUAUGUUUGAAGAUUUAUAUGGCAUGUAUAGAGUUUAAAUGAAAUGAAGUAAAGAUGUUAUAAACUAGUUAACAACAUUUUGUACUAAAGCAGUUUUUGGUUAGUAGCAGUAGUUUGAGUUUGAAAAUUUACCAUAAA